UCCCUGGUGGUCCAGUGGUUAGGACUCCAUGCUUCCACUGUUGGGGUCGCAGGUUCAACCCCUGGUCAGGGAA
Molecule: non-coding RNA, 73 nt
Organism: Dama dama (fallow deer)
Lineage: Eukaryota; Metazoa; Chordata; Mammalia; Artiodactyla; Cervidae
Source: the annotation of a RefSeq genome assembly